GAUGAACGCUAGCGGCAGGCUUAAUACAUGCAAGUUGAGGGGCAGCAUGAUAUACGCGAGUAUAUUGAUGGCGACCGGCGGACGGGUGAGUAAUAGGUAGGAGACCUACCUCAUACAGGGGGAUAGCAUAGAGAAAUCUGUGGUAAUACCCCAUGAGGUUAUAUGAAUAGAGGCAUAUAAUCAAAGCAUAAGCGAUUAUGCGGUAUGAGAGGGGCCUACUGACCAUUAGCUAGUUGGUGAGGUAAGGGCUCACCAAGGCGAAGAUGGUUAGGGGUUUUGAGAGAGAGACCCCCCACAUUGGAACUGAGAGACGGUCCAGACUCCUACGGGAGGCAGCAGUAGGGAAUAUUGGGCAAUGGGCGAAAGCCUGACCCAGCCAUGCCGCGUGAAGGAAGACGGCCUUAUGGGUUGUAAACUUCUUUACUACGCGAAUAGAGGUUAGUACGAGAUACUAAUAGGAAGGUAGUGUAGUAAAAAGCACCGGCUAACUCCGUGCCG
This 498-nucleotide ribosomal RNA is filed under the name uncultured bacterium. RNAcentral describes it as "bacterial SSU rRNA". It matches the Rfam family "Bacterial small subunit ribosomal RNA", at positions 28 to 510 of the family's 1533-position model. The record is from RNAcentral.